UAACACAAAGCAUAAACAUUUACGUUAAAUAUGUGUCUGUGGUGCCUGUGCGCUGGCUUCUUGACUCUUAGAGUUUUGCUAAAGUCUCUCUAGGGGGGCUCUGACUGGAACACGCCUUUGGGUAGCAUGGGAACAGGCAGGCUUGGUCUGGGAAAGGGAGCAGGCUGUUCAUUUCUGUUGCACAAUCCAAUUAGCUCCGAGUUCCACCGAUAAGAAACAGCACCAGAUCACUACAGAAGCUUUGUGUGAGAAGUCGUGCGUCUAAUAGCUGGCUGGUAAACAAUCGGCAGCAUCUUCAACAGGUUCCGCUUUCACCAGGGAUCUACGACAGCUGGUUAACAACAGAGAUCAUGCUGACUGCUUACCUGCUGGCAAUCUUCUUCAUCUGCGCAGGAAUCACAGCAGAAGCUGUCCGUCCACCAUGCAACGAGGACCUGUUUGACAUCAAUGUUGACAACUGCCUGUUGGAUUUCAACAAAAGCAUGGAGACAAGUGACUAUCAGAACAUGUGCCCGUGGCCUAUGGUUCAAAGCAACUACAACAAAUUGAUGACAUGUGUGGAAGACUGGGCUAAGAAAACUCGGUGUUGGGGUUAUGGAUUUUUGGUACAUGAGAUUUACUUGGAGGUCCACCAGACGUACUUUUCGCUAUGUGGAUACGUUCGUGACCCCCCACUCUUCACUCUCAUCAUGUUAAUAGCACCGUGUAUUAUUGUCACACUUUUUCUGCCUCUUAUGUGUGUUCACAUCGCCCCCAGGGACACAUAAAUACCCAGCGAAGGAAAAUUGGAAUCUUUUUUUAGCCAGUGUUCUGACAGUGCUAACUGUGCUUGCUACCUCUGUUGCAGAGAUUCAGGAAAUUCAUCCUGGAAGAAGACACUUCAAGCUAAUAAACAAUCAUUUUACAUAAAUCAGAAAAUACAUUUUCUAUUCAAUGAAGUAGUGAAAACGCCUGACUACUUAAGUUUGGUUGGAUAAGUAUCUUGGGCUGUUCACAAAGAGUUUCAUGAUCCAAAAGACUGCAACGGAGAGGACAACUGUACAACUGAGACUCUUUUGGACCUAAAUGUAUUCAUCCAAGCAGACAAAUUGCAGGGGAGCUUAUAAACGGGUGUCGUAAAUUGAGCAACAAUGACUGCAAAUCCCCCAAAGGUCACGUUUGGUGGAACAAAGCAAAAAUCUCACCUGUUUUAAAUAUUCCCCUGUCCCCUUCAGGAUCCCUGUGCACCUCUGCACCAUUUCCAGCGCUCUGGCUGUUUUCCGAUCUCUCUCUCUGGAACUCCUCCUCUGAUCACUUGUAUGUCCUCCCUUUUGUUAAAACAACAACACUUCCAGCCUUAAAUUUAAUAUUUCGAGAAGAAUGUCAGAGAACAACAUUUAGUGACUAGUGACUGACAUUAUCUCCAGUCACCAUCAUAGUGUUGGUAUGUGGCUUUCAUAGUGUCAG
Haplochromis burtoni (Burton's mouthbrooder) is the source of this 1446-nucleotide long non-coding RNA. RefSeq lists it as uncharacterized. The record is from RefSeq and is a predicted model, not a curated record. The transcript is spliced from 4 exons. Lineage: Eukaryota; Metazoa; Chordata; Actinopteri; Cichliformes; Cichlidae.